Molecule: long non-coding RNA, 411 nt
Organism: Amblyraja radiata (thorny skate)
Lineage: Eukaryota; Metazoa; Chordata; Chondrichthyes; Rajiformes; Rajidae
Exons: 3
Source: RefSeq, a predicted model, not a curated record
CAGUACUAUGAUAUGUUUCACGGUCUGGGAAAUCUCGCGUGAGAAGAACGAGGACAAACUGGCGUAUUUGACAUUACUAUCACAAGAUGGUCCGAGCAGGAAACUAUCCGAAGAUCUGAAACAAACAAAACAAAACGUGGAAGGGAAAACUCAGAGAAAUCAUUAGAAACUAUAGCGCCAGAGAGUCAGGGGUCUUCGUUUCGGGUGUUGUAGUUAAGGAAUGUAACGGACGCUUGUGUACCUGGACAUACCAGGCCUCCAUACAACACACCAGGACAUGGAUUUGAAGGGUGGUGACGAAAAGGGCUACAGAUCGAGGUCAGUUUGAUAACUCUGGCCGGGAUUCGCUGAGGUUGGGCUCAAGAAACGAAACGAACUCAUUCUGCGGAAGAGCUUCGCAAGCUCCAGUCA